AAGUCACACAAAUUUAAGAAUCGAAUGGUUAAACAAGAAGCUUAGAUCAGUAAAGCAUGUUGUGUCUGGCCAUGUCCUUCUCUGUUCUCCAUGAAAAACUGCCCUGCCUUGAGAGAGCUCCUGGACCAAGCUGCUUUUCUCUGCUCUUCCUCUUACACUGAGAUUUUAAAUAAAGUCGCUGACUGCAACAAGUGGUGCACGUAGUGUGAGGAAAGACUGCUGCUGCGAAUCAGUGUGGAGGGCUGGCCUGUCAAGCCUGGGAAAGGAGCAAGGAGUCAUCCACUCUUCAUCCUGGGAAGGGAACAUAGGCAUCUGACAAAUUGUGAUGUAAGCUUAAGGGAAGCUUAAGCUUCAGGUUUAUCAACCCAGAAGAUUUUUAACUGUCCAGUUGCUAAGUGACAAGAGCACUGACUCAAGGUUAUGUGAAAGUCUCCUGUCAGCCAGUCAAGUUUGAAAGUGGAACAGUCUGAGACCAAAGGAAAAACAAUGACAAGACACUUUAAAAUCCAAGCAACUGCAGCCAAGUUUGUUAUUUUAAAAAGUUUAUAGUAAGUAGGAUACAGAAAAAUAUACAAAGGAAGUUAUAAGAUAUCCUUUUGAUAUGAAAGGAUUUUGUAUGAUAAAAGUUUUGCUUUGCUAGAAAGAGAGAUACAGUUAGAACUGGAAAGCUCAAGUAUGUUGAUGAAAAGCUUGUGGAGGAUGCAGUUUAUAAAAUAAAUAUGUGUUUGCUUGUUGGUUUGGUGGAGCUCAGACUAUUUCUUCUGAAAGCUCCUUGUUUCUCAAGAAAGAUGAGGGGCUCCAGCCUUAACUCUCAUUGGUUGGUCCUCCUCAUGUCUCAGCUCCCCUCUCUGGCUGACACAGGCUGCAACUGUCAUUGUUACAAUUAAUAGUGAACAUGAGCUUUUCUGCAAGACUAGCAGAGGCAUCCAGACAGAUCUAUGACAAAAAACAAGGCAAAGCUGCCUCCUGGGGCAGUUUCAACCUAAUUUGUGACACUCAUUAUUGCUAGCUUCAUGAUGUAUUAAGUAUAUUAAAUAUUGUUUCCCAAGUGCACAGGUCUUCAAAGACACAGAUAGUUUUUCAAGGCUUAUCCUUAAAUGAUUCUUACAUAUAUGUUAAAUAUUUAUGCUACAAUACUUUAAAAAGGCUCAAACAUUAUAUGGUCUAACAAUAUCACAUAAAAUACAUCUCUGAAUAGAUGCAUUCUUUUUAGGUGACAUUUUAUUGAAAGAUUACAAGUCUGGGUAAAAUUUCUUCAUAUCAUUUUAUAUAAUAAUGUCAUCCUGAUUGUUGUGAUAAUGUGUUUUGUUGUCCUUGAUCUCAAGUUUUCUCUAUAAACUUUAUAAUUGCUGCCUGUUAACAGUUUAACUACUAAGAUAAUCUUGAUUGAUUAAAAAA
Molecule: long non-coding RNA, 1398 nt
Organism: Heterocephalus glaber (naked mole-rat)
Lineage: Eukaryota; Metazoa; Chordata; Mammalia; Rodentia; Bathyergidae
Source: RefSeq, a predicted model, not a curated record